This 497-nucleotide ribosomal RNA is filed under the name uncultured bacterium. Its description in RNAcentral is "partial 16S ribosomal RNA". It matches the Rfam family "Bacterial small subunit ribosomal RNA", at positions 28 to 507 of the family's 1533-position model. The record is from RNAcentral.
GAUGAACGCUGGCGGCGUGCCUAAUACAUGCAAGUCGAGCGAACAGACGAGGAGCUUGCUCCUCUGACGUUAGCGGCGGACGGGUGAGUAACACGUGGAUAACCUACCUAUAAGACUGGGAUAACUUCGGGAGACCGGAGCUAAUACCGGAUAAUAUAUUGAACCGCAUGGUUCAUUAGUGAAAGACGGUUUUGCUGUCACUUAUAGAUGGAUCCGCGCCGGAUUAGCUAGUUGGUAAGGUAACGGCUUACCAAGGCGACGAUGCGUAGCCGACCUGAGAGGAUGAUCAGCCACACUGGAACUGAGACACGGUCCAGACUCCUACGGGAGGCAGCAGUAGGGAAUCUUCGGCAAUGGGCGAAAGCCUGACGGAGCAACGCCGCGUGAGUGAAGAAGGUCUUCGGAUCGUAAAACUCUGUUAGUAGGGAAGAACAAAUGUGUAAGUAACUAUGCACGUCUUGACGGUACCUAAUCAGAAAGCCACGGCUAACUUCGUG